This 86-nucleotide non-coding RNA is filed under the name uncultured Marvinbryantia sp. RNAcentral describes it as "Glycine riboswitch". It matches the Rfam family "Glycine riboswitch aptamer", at positions 9 to 86 of the family's 94-position model. Rfam says of the family: This family represents the bacterial glycine riboswitch. Glycine riboswitches usually consist of two metabolite-binding aptamers domains with similar structures in tandem. The record is from RNAcentral. Lineage: Bacteria; Bacillati; Bacillota; Clostridia; Lachnospirales; Lachnospiraceae.
CUGCACUCUGGAGAAUCCCACGAAGGGGUGGGUGCCGAAGGUGCAAAGCGCAUUGCGCGAAUCUCUCAGGCGAAAGGACAGAGAAU